This 256-nucleotide ribosomal RNA is filed under the name uncultured bacterium. Its description in RNAcentral is "partial 16S ribosomal RNA". It matches the Rfam family "Bacterial small subunit ribosomal RNA", at positions 524 to 779 of the family's 1533-position model. The record is from RNAcentral.
UACGAAGGGGGCUAGCGUUGUUCGGAUUUACUGGGCGUAAAGCGCACGUAGGCGGAUCGUUAAGUCAGGGGUGAAAUCCUGGAGCUCAACUCCAGAACUGCCUUUGAUACUGGCGAUCUCGAGUCCGGAAGAGGUGAGUGGAACUCCUAGUGUAGAGGUGGAAUUCGUAGAUAUUAGGAAGAACACCAGUGGCGAAGGCGGCUCACUGGUCCGGAACUGACGCUGAGGUGCGAAAGCGUGGGGAGCAAACAGGGAU